RNAcentral lists this long non-coding RNA (736 nucleotides) under Homo sapiens (human). RNAcentral's name for it is "non-protein coding H19:2". Lineage: Eukaryota; Metazoa; Chordata; Mammalia; Primates; Hominidae. The record is from RNAcentral.
CAUCAGAGGACCAUGGCCCCGUAUCACCUGGGUCAGGCACUGAAGCUGGGACAGGAGAGCAGAGACUUCCAAAAUGAGGGAUCCCUGUGUUCUGAGGUGAUCAUGACUGGGACCCAAGGACUCAAGCGCAUGCUCCAGAGGGAAUCGUUUCCCACAAGGCCUUUGGCAGGAACAGGGAUCCUGGGAGCCUGCCAAGCAGAGCGCACAGUGUUCCUGGAGUCUCGCUGCCCAGAUGCCACGGAAUCAGUUGAAGCCAGGUCUCCAGCUGGGGUGGACGUGCCCACCAGCUGCCGAAGGCCAAGACGCCAGGUCCGGUGGACGUGACAAGCAGGACAUGACAUGGUCCGGUGUGACGGCGAGGACAGAGGAGGCGCGUCCGGCCUUCCUGAACACCUUAGGCUGGUGGGGCUGCGGCAAGAAGCGGGUCUGUUUCUUUACUUCCUCCACGGAGUCGGCACACUAUGGCUGCCCUCUGGGCUCCCAGAACCCACAACAUGAAAGAAAUGGUGCUACCCAGCUCAAGCCUGGGCCUUUGAAUCCGGACACAAAACCCUCUAGCUUGGAAAUGAAUAUGCUGCACUUUACAACCACUGCACUACCUGACUCAGGAAUCGGCUCUGGAAGGUGAAGCUAGAGGAACCAGACCUCAUCAGCCCAACAUCAAAGACACCAUCGGAACAGCAGCGCCCGCAGCACCCACCCCGCACCGGCGACUCCAUCUUCAUGGCCACCCCCU